AGCAACAACCACCUUCCUUCUUCUUGAUUUUAGCCAUCCAAAUGAGGAAUUAAACUUCUAAACCGAUUAAAGUGUUAGUUGUGGGCUUGAGAAGUUAGGGGAAACAAGAAUUCCAAGAGGAGGUGAAGUAUUACUUUUGCAAGCUUCAUUUGUUGAGGUAUAAGGCUAAACCAUGGCUUUGGUUCUUUUAUUGUGGUUUAAGUUGUUGCAUCAUGCAUGAUUGUGGUUGGAUUAGUAGUGAAACAAGUUGUUAUGAUGAUUUAAAGGUGAUAUAUGUGAGUUAGGGUUUGAGGUACUUGCUGCCUAUACUUGCUAUAUGGAUGAGAUAUGUGGUAUCUAAGCUUAUAUAAGUGGUUUUAGUGAUGAUUAGAGUAAGAAAUCAAGAAAGGCUGCAUUGAAAACAAAAAUUCCAGAUUUCUGGAAAAAUUUCCCCUCUUUCUGUCCGGUUUUAUUGCAUCAUGUUAGAGGCCGAAUUAGCCUUAGCUUAAAACAUAAAAGUCGUAGAGAAUGGUAUUUUAUAGUUGCCUACAAAAUUUCAGCUCAAUCGGAGCAACGUAGCCUGUGAAAAGACCAAAAUACCCUCGCUGUUCUAGGUUACAUUCCAGAGUUCCGCGUGGACAGUUUUGUCUAUUUGGUUGUAUUUAUUCACUAUAAUCCGUUCGGAUUUAGCCAUUUUCUAAAACAUGAAAGUUUUAGUACCCUGUCUUAGCUUUUCAACACCACCAAGAACGUCUUAAACAGAUCUCGGUAGACUGAGAUAUGGUCAUUUGAAUGCAGUACGGUUGAUUAGCCAAAUAGUUGGAACCAGGUUAUAUGAAUUGGGAAUUUGAUUAGGUUACACUGAAAAUUUGACUAAGUGCUCUUCAUGAAAAUUGUAGGCCUUCGUCUUAGCUUCAAAAUGGUAUAAGUUUCACCUCGAUCCGAUAAGCGUAGCCUCGGAUGUGCUCAUUCCGCAAAAAAAAGAACCCGUCAAAACUGUCUUUUGUAAACGUCGUUUCCACACUCGUUAUUAGCUUGAUUUCUUGUUCUUGUAUUGUUUUGAGCCUAUUGAAUGGCUAUUGAAAUGAAAUUGUGUUAUGGGUAACCUUGGGUUUGGUUGAGUAAAAGAAUGAAGCCAUAAAUGGUUGGAAAAUUAGGUAAACACAAAGGGCGUGCUGCCCAAAUUUACGCUCGAGGACUAUAGAAAUACACUUGCGACUUGGGUAGAGUUGAUAUGAAUAUCACUUGAACCAUCUAGGGUACUUGAGUCUUCUUGUUCCGAGGUAUAUAAGUAAGGAUUUGGCCGAACUUGUACCCUUGAGAAAUGAAAUAAUGAUUGCUCGGAGUAUGUUUUCCUUGUACUUUCAACUCGCAUGACAAUUUCAAGUAUAAAUGUUACAAAGUUUUACUGUUUAAAAAGCGAGCAAGUGUUUCACGACUACCAUCUGAGUGAAUUUCAAUUUCUUGAUUUUUAUUGAACGAAGCGUCUAAGUUCCGAAUCUUAGUCGAUUUUCAAAGUUCUCAAACUGAGUUUUAUCGCAGAUUUGGACUCCGAACCCGGGGUAUAACCUAAAAGUGACCAGUAAAGGCACUAUAUCUUUUGGUGAGUGCUUUCAAAUACCGAAUUGAACUUGAUACUUGAACUUGAUACGUGACCAAUAUGAUUACAUGUUAUAUACGUGAAUUGUUAGGGCAAGAGUGUACUUUAUCGCACUUGCCCUUAUGUGAUAUAUACUUGUUUAUUGUUGCAAUUGACUUGAUAUACUUGUUUAUGAUGCGCGCACUUCCUGAAAUUCCAGAAACCCUGCGGCGAGUUACUUAAGUCGAACCGGCAAAGGUUUGGUCGAUUGGGUAACGAACCCUGGGUCUCUUGUUUUGUCGAGUGGAGUGAUAUCUCCUCGACUAAUCGGUAUACUCGAGUAUUACCACCCGUGUUUCUUGAGGAUUUUGGGCCCAGCUGGGGGUUUGAACGGUGGACGGAGAGUCGUUUAAGUGGUGUUCUACUGGAUUGGUUACUUACUUGAAAGUUGACGGAGUGUCAACUGUUACUUGAUCAAGUUCUGGAGAUGCAAUGGGAAUUUGACUCCUGAGAGUCUUCCGUAUCCUUAUACUUGAAAAUGAUUAUUGUUUAUCGGAUUGUUGUUCCUUUUGAAAACCAAAAGCACUUUAUACUUGCUCAUUUGGAAAUUUGCUACUUGAAGUGUUAGUGUUCAUCUUCAUGAAUUUGUUAAGCUCGCUCACUUUGAAAUUUGCUACUUGAAAUAUUAUUGUCCACUCUUAUGAAUUUUGAUGCCAUUAACUUGCUACGUUGAUAUUCGUACUUUUAAAAUGGUCAAUUUGUUAUUUGGAACCUCACUGGGCUUUUAGCUCAUUCCACGCUAUUUGUUUUCCUUACAGGGGGUACGAGCGAG
Molecule: long non-coding RNA, 2390 nt
Filed under: Coffea arabica (coffee)
Lineage: Eukaryota; Viridiplantae; Streptophyta; Magnoliopsida; Gentianales; Rubiaceae
Description: long non-coding RNA (CARA_LNC005592)
Source: RNAcentral